Molecule: long non-coding RNA, 525 nt
Organism: Anneissia japonica
Lineage: Eukaryota; Metazoa; Echinodermata; Crinoidea; Comatulida; Comatulidae
Exons: 2
Source: RefSeq, a predicted model, not a curated record
UUAUUUUUGUUAGUGAAAGUAGCAGUGAUGCUAUCAGUAAAACGUCUCGCUGCUCACUUUGUCUGGAAGAGCGCCAACAUUCUACAGCAACGCCGUGUGGCCACCUAUUCUGCUGGAAGUGUAUUAUGGAGUGGUGUUUAACUAAGCCUGAGUGUCCUUUAUGCAGAGAUGAAGUUCAACAACAAAAUCUGGUUGCUUUAAAGAAUUAUUGCUGAACUUACGAACAUAUGAUUGGUUAAAGACACAGUUUAAAUAUAUAUUUGAUUGGUUAAGGCUACACAAUUUGUAAAAUCUGAUUGGUUGAAGCUGCAUAACACUGCUUAGUAAAAUCUAAUUGGUUUAUCCUACGGUACAUGACACAUCUUUUUGAACUCUGAUUUGUCUAAGGUUGCAGGCACAACUUUAAUAUAAUUGGGUAAAUGGUAAGCAUAUUGGAUAUGUAAAAAUUAAUAUGUAUAGUUUUUGAGACUGAUGUAUUGAAGAAAGCAACAUCCAUUUUUAAUAAAUAAGCAAAUUUAGAAAGCA